AUUGACCCAUCAUUAAUUUGAGUUGCUAUAUAAAUUGCUGUACUUUACCAUAUAACAAUAAUUUUUAAAUUGAGUAGUGUUACUCAUUAUAAUUAAAUAGGUAUUAGUAUUAGCUUAAAUUAAUUAAUUAGACAGGUUUCACCAGCUGCAUCAGGUUAAAAUAAUAUUAUCUCCUUUGUGUAUGUCAAUUGUAUAAUUUUACUCAUAACUAUC
Molecule: non-coding RNA, 213 nt
Organism: Cinara cedri
Lineage: Eukaryota; Metazoa; Arthropoda; Insecta; Hemiptera; Aphididae
Source: the annotation of a GenBank genome assembly